AUGCGACAGUUCGUCAGAUCUUCCUUUGAAGUGGAUCGGAGAAAGCGAAAGGCUAGUGCAAACAUGUUUGAAAUGACUUGUGAAAAUGCGCCCUUCUUCAUCUCCAUCGAUGAAAUUGAUUUUUUGUGUUGCCAAUAUGGAGAAGCCAAUGAAAGUGAGUUGGUCAAGAUUCAAGAGUCAAGACGGAGCUGCUCGUCCAGAACUCCAGAUGCACGUGACAUCUUCAGACAUUGUAGAGCACCUUCCAGUGUCUUCUUUUAUCGACAAAUUGGCCAGAGAUUUGUCCUUCAUUUAAGCAGAAUAUAG
This 306-nucleotide ribosomal RNA is filed under the name Triticum aestivum (bread wheat). RNAcentral describes it as "partial small subunit ribosomal RNA". The record is from RNAcentral. Lineage: Eukaryota; Viridiplantae; Streptophyta; Magnoliopsida; Poales; Poaceae.